RNAcentral lists this transfer RNA (72 nucleotides) under Marmota marmota marmota (Alpine marmot). It matches the Rfam family "tRNA". From Rfam's summary of the family: Transfer RNA (tRNA) molecules are approximately 80 nucleotides in length. Their secondary structure includes four short double-helical elements and three loops (D, anti-codon, and T loops). The record is from Rfam by way of RNAcentral. RNAcentral also lists the same sequence under 1 other name. Lineage: Eukaryota; Metazoa; Chordata; Mammalia; Rodentia; Sciuridae.
UGGGUUGUGGCUCAGUGAUAGAGCGCUUGCCUAGCAUGUAUGAGGUACUGAGUUCAAUUCGCAGCACCGCAU